Molecule: long non-coding RNA, 4394 nt
Organism: Haemorhous mexicanus (house finch)
Lineage: Eukaryota; Metazoa; Chordata; Aves; Passeriformes; Fringillidae
Exons: 4
Source: RefSeq, a predicted model, not a curated record
CCUGCCUCCUGCUGCAGCCCUGUGCUCUGGAUGUUUGGCACAGCUCCAACCCUCGCCUUCAGCCCAGUGACAUUCUUUGUGAUUCCCUCCUUUUCCCCCCAGCCUCUGUACCCGGAUGAGUCGAGCUGCCAAAGCAUUUUGGAAGCAGUCCAGCAGGCAGGCCUGAGUGGCUCUUCCUUCCUGUGAGCACAGGAGUGUCCAUGCCCUCCCAUCUGCUGAUCCCUCCCAGGAAGGAGCCACGCCGUGGCUGGCCGGGCGUGCGCGUGUGCGCACACACACGCUGGGCUGGAAGCUGGACAACAGCACCCUUGAAAAUGCCUCAUCGUGCUUUUCUAUUGAAAAAAAAAACCCCAAACAGUUAAAAAACCAUGUCUGAGGAGAUUGGAAAGAAUCCCCGAGGAAAGUCUGACACACAGAGCACAAGGAAAUUCAAGCUGGGACUAGGGAAAGAGAAAUGACCCAUUUGCAAUGCUGCUCCAUCCCCUGGGGAGUGCUGGGCUUCUAAUGAGAUCCAGGCCAGAGUGGCUUAAAGGAUUAGGAGCUGAGGUCACCAGGAGCCUGGGGAAGGAAGAAGCCAGCUCUGGAUCAAGACAAACACCGUCCUGGGCUGUGGGCAUGGCAGAGAAGCAGCCAAGGAUGGCUGCAGCUCACAGCAGGAGCUCUUCCUGGGACUGGAGAGACAGAGAACUCCCCAACAGCACGGGCAGAGUGAGCUGGCAGGGCUGUGGUGUGCCAGUGUCCCUCUGAGCCAGGAGGGCAAGGGCUGCUCUACAGACAAGGCUGAUCUGUCACCCAUGCAGUCACUCAGAAAUGAUACAGACCCUGCUGGGGCUGUGCUGAGAGCCAGUGCUGUGCCUCACCCAACUCCUCAGGAUCAAUACCUGGAGAGGAGUCAGCUAUUGACCAGGGUUUUGAGCAAAACUACACAGGAAUUAGGAACCCAUCCACGCUGAGGUCUUCUCAAUGAACCAGCCUUAAGAUACAGCUGGAAUCAUCAGUACCCUUUCAUCCUUCAAAGCAAAGUUUGUGCUAGGAGAAGAGAAAUGAGAUGAUUUCCACGGCCAUGGUGUCAUCUUCCCUUUUCAGUGGGAGACUGCCAGCACUUCCACAAAAUAAGCAAAGCCUAGCAACACUUCAGUUACUCUCCUUCAACAGUCCAAAGAAAAUCUGCCACUGUAAAAACUUAAUUCAAACAGCUUUAGGGUUACAAGGCUUGCCUUGUUCAACCACAGGUAAGUUUGGAUGAGUCAAAGCUCAAGAUUUUAAAAGGAAGGAGGAGAAAAAGGAAAAAAGGCCAAAGGAAAAAGCACACACUGAUAGUGGAAACUGUUUUGCAAUCACUGGCACAAUAAACGAGCCUUUUCAGUCUGAACAGGCCACAGGGUGCUGCACUAGUGCUCAAAGUAGCUGGGCUUGUAUGCUCAGAGAAGAGAGAAGGGAUCUGUUAAACCCCCCCAGUUUAUAGGAAUAAACCCUCUUCUCCAGAGGGUGUGUUUAAAUGUACUUUGCAUUUUAAAAAAAAGUUUGCCUAAUAGCCUGAGCAAAGCACAUUAUUUGAAUAUUGAAAGGUAGUUCAGCUGCUUCUGUAUCUGAUUAUCCCAGUCUUUCCCACGAGCAUUUCCACCUUACUUCAACUUCCAACCAGAAUCCCACACUGGUUUGGGGUGGAAGAGACCUUUAAGCCCAUCCAGUUCCACCUCCCUGCCAUGGGCAGGGACACCUCCCAUUGUCCCAGGGUGCUCCAAGCCCUGUCCAGCCUGGCCUUGGACACAUCCAGGGGCAGCCACAGCUUCCCUGGGCACCCUGUGCCAGAAGAGAGGCUCAGCUUGUGUGGGCUCCUCUGUUCAGCCACGGGAUGGGAUUUCACCUGAAGCCAGGGAAUACCUGUGGCAAGUUUUGCUGUAGUUUUUCAAACAGGUUGGUUUUCUGCUAUUUCUUAACCAAGUGGCAGCUGAGAGGUUAAUUCCAGAGCUCUCUAAAAGGAAGCUGAAGAAGACAAAUGCAGUCCAAAGGCCUGGUGCUACCUCCCCUGCUGUACAGAAAUGGAGAGAGUAAAGGAAGAGCACAGACACAGUGGGUAGGUCAGGAGGCAGGUAAGGAUUCAGGAAUGCUGGAGCCUUGUUGACAGCCUGAGGUUUUCAACCAGGUAAUUUUCCAAGCAGAAAAUACUUGUGAGUUAUACUCAUCUCCCCACGUCCAGGGUUGUUUUGUUCAGACCUGCAGCUGCCAUGAAAUAAAUGGCCAGUGACUUAAAACUGAAUUAUUCCCCCCUUACCUGCACAGGAAGCACCUGGGGGUUCCUAGAGCAGGCAAAAAAACACCUUGCAGACAAACACCUAGUCUCAAACCUCCUGCUCUGUCCACAGGUCUCAAAACACUCAGUAGGUGUGCUUCUCUCAUGCCCUGCAAACACUCCUAGUUCCUCUGGUGCACUCCACUCCCUCCCUGUCUUUUGCUCCAGACUGAGGAGGAGGAGGAAGAGGCUCCCUGCACAGGUACAAACAUGUCCCUGGAGACUGACCUGCUCCCAGUGGCAAGAUGUGACUUGGAUGGAGGGGAAAAAAGGUAAGCCCAGCUCUUCCUGGCACCUGGGAAUGUUCUGGUAUGUGAGAAGUCAUCUGGCCCUGCUUUCCUUUUGCUUUUUUAACCUUCCAGAACAAAAAGGGAUUCAAGGAAAGGCGUUCACAAGUGGGAAUUUUGCCUGGGCAGCCGUUCAUCCUGAGCUAGCUCCUUCCCACUGCCAGGGCCAGCUGCUGUUGGAAGCAGCAGUGUGGGGAGCUGUUGACCUGGAGAGCUAAUUGUGGAAGGCCAGGAUGAAGGAGCUUUGCUUUGCCUCCCUGUUCCCAACACAGCCUCUGGAGAGUACAGGUGAGAUGGAGAAACUGCACAGACAAAUCACUGGAAACCCAAAGAAUUAAUCAGAAGGUGAAGUUACACCACACUGUCACUGUAACAAGCACCCAAGCCCUUGAUUACAGCCUGCCAUCAAGAGAACCACAGAAUCUGGACAAAAAAAAAAAAAAAUUUACAAGAGGCUUAGCAUUUAAUGCUCUAAAGCACUAAAUCCACAGCAAAUCCUCCUGAAUCUAAAUAUGCCUUAGACAUAUUUUACCUUAUUUUUUUAAACUUUUCACAAAUGCCAUCUUAUGCUCCCAAAAAACUAAGCUCCACUGUUACUUUUGCUUUCUCAGUAGUCUGCAAAUCAGGUUACAAUCCUGUGCCUCGAGGGCCCUUUUGGCACUCCCCAAACCUCCUUCCACUAAACAGUAAGCAAGUAAAAAGUAAGCACUUAUUUGGAUUUAUCUCCCCUUUUAAGCCCAAGUAACCCAAAAGUGUCCAGCAGAUUACAGCUGACAGAAGCAGAAUUUUUGGGGGUGAUUCAAGAAAGUUUGCCUGGAAAUUAUGCACGAUACUGAUGGAUAAUUUUAUCACCUAAAACCUUGGGGAAGGUUUUAAUAAGAAAAAAUAAACACAUCCCCCCACUUGUGCACGUUGGCUCAAACAAAAAGGCCAGUGGCUGCUGUGAUCUACCUAACUCUAAGUUUUAAUUCUUGGUGGUUUAGAUUUAAAUUAAGUAGAGGCUUAGCCGGUGUGGAAAUUAAUUAAUUUUGCUCCACUGGUGCUUUUUCAUUCUCCUAACAGAGUCCACACACACCCUGGGAUCACUUUCUGGCUUUUUUCUCCCAGGACUGGUGUGAAAGCUAAACUUGGUCAACAGCCUGCCUGGCUUUUUGCAAAACCACAUCUGUUAAUGGGAAACAACAAAAUGCUCCCAGUUUCUCCCACAAAAUGGAAGUAUUCUCCCAUGGAAAGAGAACAGCCAUAACAAGAGAAUUCCCACUGCAAAUGGGCCGGGGCUCCUACAGAUUCUGGAUGGGAAGAGGAGAGCCACCCAUGGCAAACAGACCUGGAGCAGCCUUUCCUUCCCCUGCCAGGCAGGCAGAUCAACACGUGAGCAGGCUCCAUCCCUGGAAGCAGGGCUGCUCCCCUCCGGGGGCCAGGGAGAAGCGCCCUCGAGGCAAGGCAAACAAGCUCUAUCAGUGAGAGUGCACUUGUGCAGAUAACUGGGACUGGCGCUGCCACAGCUCUGGCAGUCACGGGUCACUGUGCCAGCAGGAGCUCACCCUGCCCAGUGGCAAACUCCACGGCCACUGCAAAGUUCUGCCUUCUCCAUGCUGCAGCCCGGGUGAGUUUGUCCAGCAGGCUGCUGGUGGGGAGUCUCAGCCCUGACAUGCUGGGGUCUGGCCCUCCCAGGGUGCCAGGAAACUAAAGUUUGCACAGGAACACCUAUGGGCUGUUUACACUGAGUUCUGUCCUUCAGUUAGAUGCACAAACGAAAUGAGAAAGAGCCCCUGCAGGAAGAGAUAAAAGGGAAUAAAUUCAAUAGUGCUUCA